AUGAAGAAGCUAGGUUAAUGUUUUAGAGUCAAGUAUGACAAGAUGUCAUGUGUAUGUUUGAGUAUAAGAACUAGAACCGCAACUGCUUCCCAAAAGCUAAAGUAGUGUUUCCUUGUUAGAAGAUUCAAAGCCAAAGAAUCAUAUGGACUUCAGCUACACCAUCAAAGCUAUGAGAAGCAAUAAGAAGCUUUGUUAGUGUUUUGGAGUCAAAUAUGACUAGAUGUCAUGUGGAUGAUUGAAUAUAAGAACUAGAACCGCAACUGCUUCCCAAAAGCUAAAGUAGUGUUUCCUUGUUAGAAGAUUCAAAGCCAAAGAAUCAUAU
RNAcentral lists this small RNA (322 nucleotides) under Arabidopsis thaliana (thale cress). RNAcentral's name for it is "ATSL198400". The record is from RNAcentral. Lineage: Eukaryota; Viridiplantae; Streptophyta; Magnoliopsida; Brassicales; Brassicaceae.